Molecule: long non-coding RNA, 3480 nt
Filed under: Homo sapiens (human)
Lineage: Eukaryota; Metazoa; Chordata; Mammalia; Primates; Hominidae
Description: HSALNT0332046
Source: RNAcentral
GCAAUCCAACUUUGAUCAAGCCUAUUGUAUUGAAGAAAUUAAAAUACUAGUACAUAACGUUGUUUGAACAGGAAUAUUUAUGAACACAAUACUUAUACAGUACAAAAAACCUUGAAAAACUUAAAUAUUCAUCAAUAGAAGGAAUUAUGUCACCAUUUAAAAGGAGAUAUUUAACUAUUGCUCUUGAGGAAUUUGGUUGCAGAGAAAUACAUAUUACAAUUUUGCAGAAAUGAAACAAAGCGAAACCCAAAGCCAACCUCCAUAUAUGUAUGUGUGUAUAUGUGUGUAACAGCACGGGGAAAGGCAUGGAAGAACACACGUCAACCUGCUACCAUUUAUUAGUGGAGGGAGGAUGUUUUCUUCCCUCUCUGUACUCUUGAAUUGCUUCAUUGUUUACAAUAACUUCAUUACAUUUUUCAAUGUUGGGAGAGGAAUUUAAGAUAAAUGGUGGGAGUGAGCGGGGGCAGGGAAGAGAAGUUGUCAAGGAAGAUACAGGAGAAAUCCCAUGCUGGGAGAACCUGGCCACUCUAGUUGGGGGUUUGCAGAAAGCAAAAGCCAGGGGUCUGGCCUGGGCACUGAGGGGGAUGGGGUGGAGUAGAGUCUGGGGGUGCACACAUUGUUGAGCGACCUGGCUAUUUGAACUCAAGGAGCUUAUCUAGAACAUCCUUUGAGAAGGCCAGAGAGGAUGAUGGAUCACUGGGUAGUAGCCUGCAGUAAGAGGAAUUUAAAACGCUUUACCAUAAAGAAUAACUGCUCCCAAAAUAUUAAAAGAAUGAGGUUCUCAAGGUUAUUUUGAAGAAUUCGGUGAGAUCCACCUGAGGAAAUUAAAUUAGUACUACCUAGCACGAGGUAACUGGCAUGUUGUCCGAAAGAGCUUUACCUAUACUGUCUCAUUUGAUACAAGGUACAAUCCUAUGAGGUAAGUAUUAUUAUCGUUAUUUUACAGAGGAGGAAACUGAGGUAUAGCGGGGUUCAGUAUCCCGCCCAUGGUCAUGCAGGUGGGAACAGGAGUGUUCCGGCUCCGAAGUCCUGGCUCUUGGAAGCCACACUAAAGGCUGCGUCCUUCCAGGGCGCAACUCUGGGCGCAAAUGUUACACUCUCCUCCCCUCACCCGGUGGGGGUGGAGUGGGGAGAAAGGGCCUUCUCCGUGCGCCUGCCGGGAUGGCCGGAGUUCGGUGGGGCCAAGCUGAGGUUCCUCUCCUGGGGCUGGGCAGGGUUUGGGCUAACUCUUCUCCCGCCGGCAUUCGGGUUUGGGGGCCGAGGCUGCCCAAGAGUUAACCUCCAAAAGGGCCCUGCAGGGGGUGCUUUCUCUACACUGUUCUUCUCUUGGGUAGUGGAGGGGUUGGUGGGGGAACCACAAGCUACAAGAUUACAAAGUUGCUAGACUCCUUAGCCUAGGGAGGUACGAUGAUUUGGGACCGGGUGUGGAGGUGUGGGCGGGGUGGGGGGUGCGGUGUCUUCCGGAGCCCUAAGCUGGCGUCCUCAGCCGCUCCUUUCCGUUCCUACCCCCCACCCCCAGCUCACCACUUCGUUUUCACGUCUGGGAGGGGAGCGGGGGGCGGUGAUGGGGAGGAGACCAACGCUUUGAUUUCCCCUGGUAGGUGUUCUGAGUGGCUAGGGAUCCUUCCCUCGCGUGCCCCUGGGUCGGGGCGGUAGACAGCUCCAGAGGAUGGACGGCCAGCGUGAAAGCUAGAGCUCGUGUAUUGUAGGGAAAAGUGGGGGUGGCGGGGAGAUAAUGGUUGAAUACCUUCCUGAUAUUUGAGGGAGAAUUCGGCAAGGGGGAAAUCUCUGGCUCCAUCUUUGGCUGACUCAUCGGAUUUCCUGGGGUGGGCUCCGGGAGAAGGCUCGGGGCUGGCGCUCCUGCCUCGGUCCGUCCAGCACCAAGACGCCAGGUUCCCGGCGGCCCUGGCCCUCUGGGGGUACUGAUUACAGUGGAAAGAUCUCUGCGUCCGCAGAAGGAGAAUUUGUGUCAAGGUUCUUGUGCGCCUUUUCUUCUCUGGGGGUUCUGAAUGAAAAUAAGUCCCAAGGUCAUCUUUGUCCCUUAGCUCUUGCCCAGAGCUCUAUCUGCGUCUCCAAGCUUCUCCAUCAUCUCCUUUUGUGUUUCAGGUGAUCGCCCACCUUUCUUCCCUUCUAACCCUACUUCCGGAUCUUUUUCCCCCUCGUUUCUCCCCGUGUCCCCCAUUUUCCACGCUCGAGUCCUUUUUCUCGUGCCAGUUUCCUCCCUCCGUCCGAUUUCCUUUCCCACGGGCCCUGGAGUUCCUCGGGCCCAGGCAGGGCUCUGGAACUGGCCUGACAUGUUCAUAAUAAGGAUUGUCAGACACGGUACUCAAGUGAACUACCUUGUCUUGAACUUACUAGGACAGAGGAUGUGAUAAAGGAGGUCCUUCUCUAAUCCCAACAGCUCCUCAAAGGCUCGAAGCCAGCCUGAGUGGGCCACUUGAAGAGCCACGGGCUGUGGGAAGAUACGGAGAGGCUACUCCGACGUGGGGAGGAGGAAGCACGGUUUCGGGGAAGUGGCCAAGUGGCUUAAGUGAGGAGGGUCUGCUUGAAGGUGGCAGGUCUGCUUGAAGCGGCUUCCUGAAGAGGUGAGCUUAUCACCGGCAUCCUGUGUCCCUUCAGGUUCCCUGAGAACUGGGUCAAGAAAGCAGGUUGGGGUAGGAAACAAACGACACCCCCAUUUCAAACAAUAACUUUUAUUUUAUACUUCUCUAUACUUUGUAGCAAAUCUUUUUUUGCUGAAUUUAAUUUAUAAUAAACUUUUUAAAUUACAUCUCUCUCUCUUUUUUUUUUAAAAUCAAGGCUCUUUUAUGUCAAAAUCUUUUUUUAGCUAUAUUUUAGAUUAACAUUUAACAUCCCCCCCUUGUGAUCUAUACCGUUGGAUAUUCAGGUAUUACUGUGUGUGUAACAGCUAAAACAAGAGGGAGGAGGGAAAAUAAAGGCAGUGAACUUGGACGGAUGCAUCAACAACAGCAGAUAAAGCUAACCCCUCAGUGACCAUAGCAGCAUGUCUUCUGGAAGCCUUUACUCUUACCCCAGAGAUUUCCUCAGCCCCUUCCCUCUCUCCCUCCUAUCCUCCAAACACAAAGCCAACAGUCUGUCCUUUCGCUUUUCUUGAGGAGAAAUGUGCAGUGGAAAUGAUCAAAACAAGAUACUGUGGAAGAACGACGUGAGCGUGAAUUAUUCACCGUAUGUUUCGUCCGUGGACAUCUCUCUUGAAUUCAUUCCCCUGGCCUUCUCCUCUCCUCGCCUUCCUAUUAGGAGGAGCCCAUCAUUUUUCAUGUUACUAGCAUGAUUAAUAUAGUAGGUGGCCCAGGGCCGUUCCUGAGAUUCUUUUGCCAACAAAAAAAAUUAAUAAUAAUAAAAUUAAAAAAUGGGGUGGGUUUGCCGUUUUCUUAUUUGUGUGUGAAGACGGACUAAAGCUGAGGUCCGAUUUUGGCUGUGCUUGCUUGCUCACUGAUUGGUAACAUUUGGCAAAUAAAA